This 540-nucleotide ribosomal RNA is filed under the name uncultured Geobacter sp. RNAcentral's name for it is "bacterial SSU rRNA". It matches the Rfam family "Bacterial small subunit ribosomal RNA", at positions 8 to 526 of the family's 1533-position model. The record is from RNAcentral. Lineage: Bacteria; Pseudomonadati; Thermodesulfobacteriota; Desulfuromonadia; Geobacterales; Geobacteraceae. RNAcentral also lists the same sequence under 1 other name.
AGAGUUUGAUCCUGGCUCAGAACGAACGCUGGCGGCGUGCUUAACACAUGCAAGUCGAACGUGAUCCAGAGCUUGCUCUGGUGAAAGUGGCGCACGGGUGAGUAACGCGUGGAUAACCUGCCCUGGUAUCUGGGAUAACAUCUCGAAAGGGGUGCUAAUACCGGAUAAGCCUCCGGGAUCUUCGGAUUCUGCAGGAAAAGAAGGCCUCUAUUUAUAAGCUUUCGUAUCAGGAUGGGUCCGCGUACCAUUAGCUAGUUGGUGGGGUAAUGGCCUACCAAGGCGACGAUGGUUAGCUGGUCUGAGAGGAUGAUCAGCCACACUGGAACUGAGACACGGUCCAGACUCCUACGGGAGGCAGCAGUGGAGAAUUUUGCGCAAUGGGGGAAACCCUGACGCAGCAACGCCGCGUGAGUGAUGAAGGCUUUCGGGUCGUAAAGCUCUGUCAGAGGGGAAGAAAUGGGUCGUGCUAAUAUCACGGCUUCUUGACGGUACCCUCAAAGGAAGCACCGGCUAACUCCGUGCCAGCAGCCGCGGUAAUAC